CCCUUAGAUGUUCUGGGCCGCACGCGCGCGACACUGAUGCAUUCAACGAGCCUAUCCUUGACCGACAGGUCCGGGUAAUCUUUGAAUCUGCAUCGUGACGGGGAUAGAUUAUUGCAAUUAUUAAUCUUCAACGAGGAAUGCCUAGUAGGCGCAAGUCAUCAGCUUGCGUCGAUUACGUCCCUGCCCUUUGUACACACCGCCCGUCGCUCCUACCGAUUGGGUGUGCUGGUGAAAUGUUCGGAUCGGCCGUUUGUCGCGGUUUCCGCGUCAUGUGGCUGAGAAGUUCAUUAAACCCUCCCACCUAGAGGAAGGAGAAGUCGUAACA
Molecule: ribosomal RNA, 325 nt
Filed under: uncultured eukaryote
Lineage: Eukaryota
Description: partial 18S ribosomal RNA
Rfam family: Eukaryotic small subunit ribosomal RNA
Source: RNAcentral